Molecule: long non-coding RNA, 756 nt
Organism: Hibiscus syriacus
Lineage: Eukaryota; Viridiplantae; Streptophyta; Magnoliopsida; Malvales; Malvaceae
Exons: 3
Source: RefSeq, a predicted model, not a curated record
UCGCAGCCCCAUCGGCUUCUAGGUUUAGCUACGCAGGACGAAAACUCCUACUCUCUUGUCAGUUUGAGAGAAUCGACGACAAAGAGGAAAAGAAAAUGGGAGGGAAAUUGUUUGCUCUUCGCCAGGCCUUCAGUUUCCGAUCGAUUUACUCUUCUUCCUCAAUUCUCAGCACGCGACCCACAAUCUUCUCCCAAAUUUCAAGAACCUUAUGUUCCUCAUCAUCAGCUUCAUCGUAUACGAGACUGCCAUCUGUUGCGAGGCUUCCGUUUGUGGAUGCAUUCCUGGGAAAGAUGAAAAAUAAUAGAACUAUUUUAGCCAACAGGAAAAUUUAUUCACGUAGAUCUACCAUUUUGCCUGAGUUCGUGGAUCAAACCGUCCGGAUUUACAAUGGAAAAAAUUUUGUUCGAUGCAAGAUCACUGAAGGCAAAGUUGGUCAUAAGUUUGGUGAGUUUGCUUUGACUCGGAAAAGAAAAUUUUUGAGGAACAAGGCUGAACCUGCAAAAAAGAAGGGCAAGAAAUAAGCAUUUUCCACCCAAAAGCCCAUCUCAGUUUGAGGAGUGAUUCCGGAGAAAUAUGGGAAAGAAGGAAAGCAAUCAAAGGAGGAGGAAAAUGGAUUUAAGGUUUAUUUUCUCGUGUUAAUUGACUGUAAGAUUCUCUUUGGCCAAUUGUUGAGCUGCACUGUUAUGGAAAACUAUGUUUUUAAUUAUUUCUUGCAUACGGUAUACUGAUCAGAACUCGGAAGUAUAAUUUGAAAAU